This 253-nucleotide ribosomal RNA is filed under the name uncultured bacterium. Its description in RNAcentral is "partial 16S ribosomal RNA". It matches the Rfam family "Bacterial small subunit ribosomal RNA", at positions 524 to 776 of the family's 1533-position model. The record is from RNAcentral.
CACGGGGGGAGCAAGCGUUGUUCGGAAUCACUGGGCGUAAAGGGCGUGUAGGCGGUCAGGUAAGUGGAAUGUGAAAGCCCUCGGCUCACCCGAGGAUCGGCAUCCCAAACUGCCUGGCUUGAGUAUGGGAGAGGACAGGGGAAUUCCUGGUGUAGCGGUGAAAUGCGUAGAUAUCAGGAGGAACACCAGUGGCGAAGGCGAGUCCCUGGACAACUCCUGACACUGAGGCACGAAAGCUAGGGGAGCAAACAGG